CCUGCAGGGGCAGGCUAUACUCACCAGAACAACUACAUUAAGCAGUAGAUGUUCCAGUGACUAUAUUGUCCCUUUAAUUUGUAAUUUGAAAAUCUGCCAAAAUUGUAUAUUACAUCCUUCAGUUCAUUUAAUAAUGGCCUAGGCUAGGGUGUUUCAAAGUGAUUUUGAUGUCAUCUGCAUGCAAGUAAAUCUAUAAUUGGCC
This is a non-coding RNA of Pelobates cultripes (western spadefoot toad), 202 nucleotides long. NCBI's taxonomy places the organism in Eukaryota, Metazoa, Chordata, Amphibia, Anura, Pelobatidae. The record is from the annotation of a GenBank genome assembly.